GGAUGAGCCUCCGUCUUCAAAGCCUCUUCAAACUCACUACUUUCAACAUCAGGGAAAGACAGAGGAAAACGUCUCCCACCCUGCUUCAUCACGUUUACCCAGGUGAUCCCCCAGCACACUGUUAAGGAACCCAACCUUUACAACAGUUUGUGCAGCAAAACCAGCUCUUUGCUCUGUGCCGGGCUCCAUAUCCGGACUGUCUGCUUCAGCUUCAAGCUCUUCAUCUUCACAGAGUUCUUAUAUGAGAUCAAAAUGGAAAGAACAGAUGGAGCAGUGGGUUGUCAAGACAACAGUAUCAACAGGAUGUAAACAUUCAUAAAAACAGAAUGAGCCACAUCUUCACCCUCCAAAUCGUCGCCCUGGUUGCCCCGCAGUUUGCCAUGGAGCUCCACGGCCUCCUUCCAGGGAACGCCACCGAGGUCCGAAGGGUUGGAAGGCUGCUCUUCUACCUCCAGCUCCUCCU
Molecule: long non-coding RNA, 463 nt
Organism: Girardinichthys multiradiatus
Lineage: Eukaryota; Metazoa; Chordata; Actinopteri; Cyprinodontiformes; Goodeidae
Exons: 5
Source: RefSeq, a predicted model, not a curated record